RNAcentral lists this ribosomal RNA (589 nucleotides) under uncultured bacterium. RNAcentral describes it as "partial 16S ribosomal RNA". It matches the Rfam family "Bacterial small subunit ribosomal RNA", at positions 355 to 1375 of the family's 1533-position model. The record is from RNAcentral.
UGGGGAAUUUUGGACAAUGGGCGAAAGCCUGAUCCAGCAAUGCCGCGUGUGUGAAGAAGGCCUUCGGGUUGUAAAGCACUUUUGUCCGGAAAGAAAUCCUUGGCUCUAAUACAGUCGGGGGAUGACGGUACCGGAAGAAUAAGCACCGGCUAACUACGUGCCAGCAGCCGCGGUAAUACGUAGGGUGCAAGCGUUAAUCGGAAUUACUGGGCGUAAAGCGUGCGCAGGCGGUUUGCUAAGACCGAUGUGAAAUCCCCGGGCUCAACCUGGGAACUGCAUUGGUGACUGGCAGGCUAGAGUAUGGCAGAGGGGGGUAGAAUUCCACGUGUAGCAGUGAAAUGCGUAGAGAUGUGGAGGAAUACCGAUGGCGAAGGCAGCCCCCUGGGCCAAUACUGACGCUCAUGCACGAAAGCGUGGGGGAGCAAAACAGGAUUAGAUACCCCUGGUAGUCCACGCCCUAAACGAUGUCAACUAGUUGUUGGGGGAUUCAUUUCCUUAGUAACGUAGCUAACGCGUGAAGUUGACCGCCUGGGGAGUACGGUCGCAAGAUUAAAACUUAAAGGAAUUGACGGGGUCAUAGCUGUUUCCU